RNAcentral lists this microRNA precursor (103 nucleotides) under Marmota monax (woodchuck). The record is from RNAcentral. Lineage: Eukaryota; Metazoa; Chordata; Mammalia; Rodentia; Sciuridae.
AGUAGAAUUGCUGGGUUGCAUGGUAGCCCUGUACUUAACACUUGAGGAAUUUUCCAGACUGUUUGCCAGAGUGGCUAUGCCAUUUUACAUUCCCACCAGUGAU